This 645-nucleotide long non-coding RNA is filed under the name Cricetulus griseus (Chinese hamster). RNAcentral describes it as "lncRNA (ENSCGRG00015031520.1)". Lineage: Eukaryota; Metazoa; Chordata; Mammalia; Rodentia; Cricetidae. The record is from RNAcentral.
CUGAAAUGGGGAGCUGGUCCCUUCAGGUUAGCCCACAUGGACAAGAUGGCGGCCACCAUAAGCAUGUUCCGGACUGACGGCAGAAGUGACUUUUCUUCUCCAUGAGUGAGGCAGAAAGAUGUGUGAAACCAACAGGACACCAGAGUCCAAAGGACACAACAUCCAAAAAGACCACUCUGCUUUCAAUCUAGAGUGACAGUGUUGAGAAGUUAUGACAGAUGCCAUCUGGCCCGCAGUGCCUGAAGAUUUCCCAUCUGCUCCUCGAUAGAAAAAGUUUGCCAACCUUGUUUUCUCUGUAACCAGUUUGGUCACAGUCCAGCUCUUGAGAUGGUGCAGCCCACAUUUGAGGAAGCUGAGGGCAGAAAUGGGCACAAGAAAUUAAUCAACACCUUUGAUCACCAACCCAUCCAAGCAAGAAAUGUACACCGGCCAGCAAUAUCUAGGCUGCCAUUGUUCCUGUUCCCUGACCUCAAGGAGUCCCUUGUUCAACUAUUAAAAGUGUGUGUUUCAGGGCUGGAGAGAUGGCUCCGAGGUUAAGAUUACUGGCUGCUUUUCCAGAGUCCUGAGUUCAAUUUCCAGCAACCACAUGGUGGCUCACAACCGUCCAUUAUGAGAUCUCUUCUGGUGUGCAGAUAUACAUGGAAA